UAGUUCAGUUGGUUAGAACGCUACCUUGACAUGGUAGAGGUCGAAGGUUCGAGUCCUUUCGCGUCCACCA
This 70-nucleotide transfer RNA is filed under the name Clostridiales bacterium. RNAcentral describes it as "tRNA-Val". It matches the Rfam family "tRNA". Rfam says of the family: Transfer RNA (tRNA) molecules are approximately 80 nucleotides in length. Their secondary structure includes four short double-helical elements and three loops (D, anti-codon, and T loops). The record is from RNAcentral. Lineage: Bacteria; Bacillati; Bacillota; Clostridia; Eubacteriales.